AAGAGCCAUCGAUUUCGAGCGGACUCCUAGUCCCAUCUUCUCUCGCAGCUGAUCCAUCCGUCUUCUUCUCCUUUGCACCUUCGCCAUCUCCCUUCUCCUUCACGACUUUACGCCGUCUCCCUUGGGCUCUCACCUUCACCAUCCUACCCAAAAGCUAAACCCAGAGCCCGAACAAAAACUGAUAAAGAGUCCACCGACUCCCUCCGGUGGACACGGCCAUGGUUAUUGCUUCAACCGCAGCUCUCGCUCCUUCCUGGUUCACGCCCAAGAGGUGAUUCGUUUUCUUACACUUUUGUGUUAAUUUUUUUUUUUGUUCUGUUCUGGGGUCUGUUUGGUUGGUGAGAAAAUAUGGAAUUCAAGAGAGUUUUGGCCUUUUUGUAUUUUUUAGGGUUUUUGAUUGUUUUUGUUACUUGGGUCUGGGAAAUACACGGUAUUUCCAUGUGGGCUUCAGAGAUUUUGGUGAUUUCUUAGUUUUUCUCUAUUUUUCCGGCAACCAACCCGGAAAUUCGGUUUUUCUCCAUUGUGGGCACUAAUCUUCUUUAUGUGAAAGUUUAUGGAUGGAAAGGGAAAAUAGUGAGAAUUGUUGGAUGAUUAAUUAGUUAAACUAUUUUGAAAUUGAAAGGAGGAGAUGAUGUAUCAUGUAAAUGAAUGCUCUAGAGUUAAGAAUAUAUUUAUAAGUUUGAGCUUUCAACUGGGUUGAGUCAAGUAUCAUUUGAAGGUUUUGCAAGACAUUUGAGUCACUUUUAGUAUCUCAUUGUGCAAUAUAAACAUCUUUACGCUGCGAUUGCAGGUUACUUGUUAUCUUUUGCUUGAUUAACUUGAUACAUUAUGUGGACCGAGGAACAAUAGCAAGUAAUGGUGUCAAUGGGAGCCUCGAAACUUGUACAGACAGUGAUAUAUGCACGGCUGGUACUGGGAUUCAUCUGAGCUUCCACCUGGGGUGGAGUCUGCUCUACUGCAACAAGUUUUGAGCCUAACACAGGAAAAAUUGAGUUCAUUGUCUCCGGAAUGUCAACAACAAGUAAUAAAGCUCCAAUAGAUGCUUCGGUGAGAUCAGAUUCAGCCAUCGUAGCAGAGUCAUAAAUGGCAGUUUUGAUGCAGUAAGUUGUUACAUGUGCAGGCACCAACUUGCUUGCUAGAGCAACAAAAGGCGUGAUAUUGAUUCAAUCGAUUUUGAUUGUUUGUAACAGUAUGUUCAUGUGAGGAGUUGAUUUAGAGGAUCUGUAGUGCAAGAGUACUAUCGUAUUCGUGUAGCCUACACAAGCUUGUGUUUUAGUCUAGUCAAUAAAUUAGUUAGAAUAACAAAAUUUUGUCUGUAUCACAACAUUUAAAUUUACAUUCCCUCAGCUAAAAUUUGUUGCUUCACUUUUGA
This is a long non-coding RNA of Pyrus x bretschneideri (Chinese white pear), 1372 nucleotides long. RefSeq lists it as uncharacterized. NCBI's taxonomy places the organism in Eukaryota, Viridiplantae, Streptophyta, Magnoliopsida, Rosales, Rosaceae. The transcript is spliced from 2 exons. The record is from RefSeq and is a predicted model, not a curated record.